Molecule: transfer RNA, 49 nt
Filed under: Gamochaeta pensylvanica
Lineage: Eukaryota; Viridiplantae; Streptophyta; Magnoliopsida; Asterales; Asteraceae
Also listed under: 65 other names
Description: partial tRNA-Leu
Source: RNAcentral
AGUAAGAGGAAAAUCCGUCGAUUUCAAAAAUCAUGAGGGUUCAAGUCCC